AUGUCUAGAUCAACAGCAGAAGCUGAGUACAGAGCAUUAUCUCAAGGGUUGUGUGAGAUGCUCUGGGUGAAGUACCUACUGAGCGAGUUGAAACUUCUGAGGAAGGGCCCCUUGAAGGUGUGGUGUGACAAUCAGUCAGCUAUAACCAUUGCUAAUAACCCAGUUCAACAUGAUAGGACAAAGCAUGUGGAAAUUGAUCGCUUGUUCAUUAAGGAGAAACUUGAUGCUGGGAUCAUCAGCAUUGGUCAUGUCAGUUCUGGGCAGCAGUUUGCAGAUUGCUUGACAAAGGGACUAGAAACAAAGGACUGUAACUUGGCAUGUGACAAGAUGGGAAUGAUAGAUAUCUACCACCCAUCUUGA
This 360-nucleotide ribosomal RNA is filed under the name Triticum aestivum (bread wheat). Its description in RNAcentral is "partial small subunit ribosomal RNA". Lineage: Eukaryota; Viridiplantae; Streptophyta; Magnoliopsida; Poales; Poaceae. The record is from RNAcentral.